RNAcentral lists this long non-coding RNA (251 nucleotides) under Cicer arietinum (chickpea). RNAcentral describes it as "long non-coding RNA (CARI_LNC003427)". The record is from RNAcentral. Lineage: Eukaryota; Viridiplantae; Streptophyta; Magnoliopsida; Fabales; Fabaceae.
UUUGCCAAUCGAUUAUCGUGUGUCUUGUUUUUCUUGAAUCUUGAAACUAUAUAAGCCAAUCGAUUUACCAAUCGAUUCUUUAAACAACAUUUUUCAGUGAUUAUGUUAAGACUUAUAUGCAUCGAUUUCGUAAUCGAUUGCAGACGUUAUGUUUAAAUUAAAACACAUACCAAUCGAUUUCGUAAUCGAUUUAUUAAGUCUUCAUAAUCGAUUAACAAAUACUCAGAAUCGAUUUGGCCACAAGCUCAGAG